Molecule: ribosomal RNA, 492 nt
Filed under: uncultured bacterium
Lineage: Bacteria
Description: partial 16S ribosomal RNA
Rfam family: Bacterial small subunit ribosomal RNA
Source: RNAcentral
AGUGAACGCUGGCGGUAGGCCUAACACAUGCAAGUCGAACGGCAGCACAGUAAGAGCUUGCUCUUACGGGUGGCGAGUGGCGGACGGGUGAGGAAUACAUCGGAAUCUACUUUUUCGUGGGGGAUAACGUAGGGAAACUUACGCUAAUACCGCAUACGACCUACGGGUGAAAGCAGGGGAUCUUCGGACCUUGCGCGAUUGAAUGAGCCGAUGUCGGAUUAGCUAGUUGGCGGGGUAAAGGCCCACCAAGGCGACGAUCCGUAGCUGGUCUGAGAGGAUGAUCAGCCACACUGGAACUGAGACACGGUCCAGACUCCUACGGGAGGCAGCAGUGGGGAAUAUUGGACAAUGGGCGCAAGCCUGAUCCAGCCAUACCGCGUGGGUGAAGAAGGCCUUCGGGUUGUAAAGCCCUUUUGAUGGGAAAGAAAUCCAGCCGGCUAAUACCUGGUUGGGAUGACGGUACCCAAAGAAUAAGCACCGGCUAACUUCGUG